Molecule: ribosomal RNA, 643 nt
Filed under: uncultured bacterium
Lineage: Bacteria
Description: bacterial SSU rRNA
Rfam family: Bacterial small subunit ribosomal RNA
Source: RNAcentral
CGCGGCCUAUCAGCUUGUUGGUGAGGUAACGGCUCACCAAGGCUUCGACGGGUAGCCGGCCUGAGAGGGCGACCGGCCACACUGGGACUGAGAUACGGCCCAGACUCCUACGGGAGGCAGCAGUGGGGAAUAUUGCACAAUGGGCGAAAGCCUGAUGCAGCGACGCCGCGUGCGGGAUGACGGCCUUCGGGUUGUAAACCGCUUUCAGUAGGGACGAAGCGAGAGUGACGGUACCUACAGAAGAAGGACCGGCUAACUACGUGCCAGCAGCCGCGGUGAUACGUAGGGUCCAAGCGUUGUCCGGAAUUAUUGGGCGUAAAGGGCUUGUAGGCGGUCCGUCGCGUCAGAAGUGAAAACUCAGGGCUUAACCCUGAGCCUGCUUUUGAUACGGGCGGACUAGAGGGAUGCAGGGGAGAACGGAAUUCCUGGUGGAGCGGUGGAAUGCGCAGAUAUCAGGAGGAACACCGGUGGCGAAGGCGGUUCUCUGGGCAUUACCUGACGCUGAGAAGCGAAAGCGUGGGGAGCAAACAGGCUUAGAUACCCUGGUAGUCCACGCCGUAAACGGUGGGCACUAGGUGUGGGGGACAUUCCACGUUCUCCGUGCCGAAGCUAACGCAUUAAGUGCCCCGCCUGGGGAGUACGG